Molecule: long non-coding RNA, 2068 nt
Organism: Myxocyprinus asiaticus (Chinese sucker)
Lineage: Eukaryota; Metazoa; Chordata; Actinopteri; Cypriniformes; Catostomidae
Exons: 5
Source: RefSeq, a predicted model, not a curated record
AUCAAUUUGAUUCAAAAUUUAGCCAAGGACGAGUGUUAAAAUGUGUUUUCAGAAGAGGACUUUAUGUUUGUAGUGCGGAUGAAUAUUAGAGGUUUGUAUACGUCACUCAGCGUGCGCUCUACGUCAUUUUCAUGCGUUCUCUGACCAUAACAACACAGCCCUGGUGUCUGCUGUAAACACGUCAAGAUUCAUAUUAUAAAAACAUCGAGGACACUCGAGACAUGUAAAUGGCAGCAGUGUUUGAUAUGUUAGGAAUACAAACAGAUGAAUUUGUUCUUCAGCUCGGUUUACUAUGAUUAAAUGAUAUAACAGAGAGUCUCCAUCAGUUAACGUUACAGUGAUGGAGAUUGAUGAAGAUCUAGAGACACUGGGAGAGAAACUGUAUGAUGUAAUUCAUCCAAAAUACACAGAGAUGAGACCUAAACUUACAGGUAUGUUGCUGUUGUUGCUCAGAUGCUGCAGGAUGAAUCUCUGUUGAAUGAAGCACUAGAGAGAGCAGUGACUGCUCUCACAUAAUCAAUAAACAGUGAACCUGUGUCUCAAACUGAUAAUGCAGCUUCUGUCUCCUCUUCUGUGAACAGCUGUAUGACCUUACUGACCUCUACAACACCAGACACACACAGAAAAUAAAAGGUGUAGGGAGGGCAACGAAAUGACAGAUGUGAAUGACGGAGAGCGAGAAUUGGCGAAACGCUUUUCAGUAUUGUACAGCAGCUAGAUCCCGCCCACUGUGCUGACAUCACAGGAAGACGCUCUGAGCCAGACACACACGCAAAUGUCAAAAUGAGGCCUGGGAAACUCUACAGACCAUGUGAUCUGGAAAACACAAUAUAAUGGAUCAUCAAGAGAAACUUAGUAAUUUAGACUCUUGGUUAUUGAUAUUGCUGUACAUUUAACUUGCACAUCUUAAGACGUUGUUCAUAUGAACUUUUUAAAAUGCUAUUUUUGGGCUAUUUGCCACUUUUUAUUCAUAUAGAGGGCACAGGAAAUUAUCAUGGAGAGUGUGACCAGAUACUGCACAUGAUUGAUUCAAACCUACGUUUCCUGCAAGAGCACCACAGCACAACGCAUCUAGAGGCUUUGAUGUUCCACAAGCGCACAUUUAAGACAUUAUGCUCUCGGAGUUGUCAUAAUCAGCGAUCAUUAAAGAUUUGUUUAUUUAAUUUGCAUUAAAAAUAAUAUAUCUCUGUAAAUAAAGAAUGCAAAUGGUAUUUAAUUUAAUGUUUUAACAUACAGUGUGAGUCUUAUUUCACUCUGUGGCUUUGUAUGAGAUUAAUGCAUGUUCAGCUUUGUUUUUAACCUCUUUUGUCAUUAACUAAUGAAAUAAUAAGUUGGGGUGGGACAUAUUAAAGGGUUUGUCCUGUUGUUGUUUUUUUAAAUAGCUAAUAGUGUUUAGUUUAUGUCAGUGGUGAACCAUGAUUUGCUUCUUGCUAGUCAGAAGCAUUUUAUGGGGCAAAAGGAUCCACAUUUUAUUAGGUGUCUUUAACUACUAUUUACUUAAGCAUUUGAUAAAAUGUGCUUAUUUUGUACAUGGUGUUGCAUUUAAUUAUGUCUGUAAUUACACUGUUAACCUUACCCGUUAACCUACCCGUACCUCAGUAGCAAUAAAUGUGAAUCUUGUAAGAAUUUUGCAGGGCAAAAUGUAGUUACACAAUAAUAUCAUUAUAUUGUAUGUAUUUUGAUGUUAGUACAUAGUAGUUAAAGAUACCUAAUAUAAAGUGUGACUGGACGUUUUCCUGGCUAAAAGUUUAAUUUUGUCAAAUUUAAAGGGAUAGUUACCAAAAAUUGAAAAUGCUCUCAUCAUUUAAUCACCCUCAUACCAUCUCAGAUGUGUAUGACUUUCUUUCUUCUGCUGAACACAAAGAGUUUUAGAAAAGUAUAUCAGCUCUGUAGGUCCUCGCAAUGUAAGUGAAUGGUGACCAAAACUUUGAAGCUCCAAAAGCACAAAGGCAGAAUAAAAGUAAUCCACACAACUCAAGUGGUUAAAUCCAUGGCUUCUGAAGUGAUAUGAUAGGUGUGGGUGAAAAACAGUCAACAUGCAAGUCCUUUUUUUUUUUACUAUAAAUAU